Molecule: ribosomal RNA, 437 nt
Filed under: uncultured bacterium
Lineage: Bacteria
Description: partial 16S ribosomal RNA
Rfam family: Bacterial small subunit ribosomal RNA
Source: RNAcentral
AGCGAACGCUGGCGGCAGGCUUAACACAUGCAAGUCGAGCGGGCAUCCUUGUGGUGUCAGCGGCAGACGGGUGAGUAACGCGUGGGAACGUGCCCUUCGGUUCGGAAUAACUCAGGGAAACUUGAGCUAAUACCGGAUACGUGCGAGAGCAGAAAGGUUUAUCUGCCGAAGGAUCGGCCCGCGUCUGAUUAGCUAGUUGGUGAGGUUACGGCUCACCAAGGCGACGAUCAGUAGCUGGUCUGAGAGGAUGAUCAGCCACACUGGGACUGAGACACGGCCCAGACUCCUACGGGAGGCAGCAGUGGGGAAUAUUGGACAAUGGGGGCAACCCUGAUCCAGCCAUGCCGCGUGAGUGAUGACGGCCUUAGGUUUGUAAAGCUCUUUUCUCCGGGACGAUAAUGACGGUACCGGAGGAAUAAGCCCCGGCUAACUUCGUG